This 346-nucleotide long non-coding RNA is filed under the name Chinchilla lanigera (long-tailed chinchilla). RNAcentral describes it as "lncRNA (ENSCLAG00000026579.1)". The record is from RNAcentral. Lineage: Eukaryota; Metazoa; Chordata; Mammalia; Rodentia; Chinchillidae.
GUAAUCUGAGGAGUAAGGAAGAGAUCUGGCACUGCCCUCAGAACUGGGUUAUACUCCAUGAAUCUGAACUUUCACAAUUCUAAAGAGAAAACUCAAGAUAUAUGGAUUUCAGAAACUAUUUCAGAGUCAUUCAAUUCCAUUCACUUCAAAUACCACUGCCUCUGGAGUAAUAAAUAUGCAACUGCCUGUAGACACAAUAAUGUAUUUAAUCUUGAGCAAAAGGUUGUUGAGUUGUUAAACAUGAAAGCUGCGGAAAGUGUUCCUUUGCUCUGACAAAAAUAAAAUUUUGUUCCGUAUAUUUAUAUCAAAAAUGAACAAAGAGAUGAAGGCCAAAUGUGGACCUAGA